This 190-nucleotide ribosomal RNA is filed under the name uncultured organism. RNAcentral's name for it is "partial 16S ribosomal RNA". It matches the Rfam family "Bacterial small subunit ribosomal RNA", at positions 587 to 776 of the family's 1533-position model. The record is from RNAcentral.
GUGGGGUGUGAAAGCCCUCGGCUCAACCGAGGAACUGCGCUCCAAACUACCGUGCUUGAGUGAGACAGAGGUAAGCGGAACUUCGGGUGGAACGGUGAAAUGUGUUGAUAUCCGAAGGAACACCGGUGGCGAAAGCGGCUUACUGGGUCUCAACUGACGCUGAUGCACGAAAGCCAGGGUAGCAAACGGG